RNAcentral lists this non-coding RNA (128 nucleotides) under Renibacterium salmoninarum. RNAcentral describes it as "SAM-IV sequence". It matches the Rfam family "SAM (S-adenosyl methionine) riboswitch aptamer". Rfam says of the family: SAM-IV is a mRNA element that regulates gene expression via direct sensing of S-adenosylmethionine (SAM or AdoMet). SAM-IV riboswitches share conserved nucleotide positions with the previously described SAM-I riboswitches sequence analysis and molecular recognition experiments suggest that SAM-I and SAM-IV riboswitches share similar ligand binding sites, but have different scaffolds. Lineage: Bacteria; Bacillati; Actinomycetota; Actinomycetes; Micrococcales; Micrococcaceae. The record is from RNAcentral. RNAcentral also lists the same sequence under 1 other name.
GGUCACGAGUGCCAGCAAUGUCUUGACCAGACGCCUGCCCCGGCUUGCUGGACGGCAACCCUCCACCGCGGCGGGGUGCCCCGGGUGAAGACCUGGCCUCCACCAACCGGUAGAGGCAAGCGCGGGUC